RNAcentral lists this ribosomal RNA (604 nucleotides) under fungal sp. GM 19-17. RNAcentral's name for it is "eukaryotic LSU rRNA". The stretch from base 239 to 392 matches the Rfam family "5.8S ribosomal RNA". Lineage: Eukaryota; Fungi. The record is from RNAcentral.
CUUGGUCAUUUAGAGGAAGUAAAAGUCGUAACAAGGUCUCCGUAGGUGAACCUGCGGAGGGAUCAUUACAGAGUUCAUGCCCUUACGGGUAGAUCUCCCACCCUAUGUUAUUAUUACCUUUGUUGCUUUGGCGAGCCGUCAGGCCUCGGUCAGGCUAUCGGCUCCGGCUGGUAAGCGCCCGCCAGAGGACCCAAAAACUCUGAAUGUUAAUGUCGUCUGAGUACUAUAUAAUAGUUAAAACUUUCAACAACGGAUCUCUUGGUUCUGGCAUCGAUGAAGAACGCAGCGAAAUGCGAUAAGUAAUGUGAAUUGCAGAAUUCAGUGAAUCAUCGAAUCUUUGAACGCACAUUGCGCCCCUUGGUAUUCCGAGGGGCAUGCCUGUUCGAGCGUCAUUACAACCCUCAAGCAUUGCUUGGUAUUGGGCUCCGCUGCUCACCUAGCGGGCCUUAAAAUCAGUGGCGGUGCCGUCGAGGCCCUGAGCGUAGUAAAUAUCCUCGCUAUAGGGACUCGGUGGACGCUGGCCAUUAACCCCCAACUUUCUAAGUUUGACCUCGGAUCAGGUAGGGAUACCCGCUGGACUUAAGCAUAUCAAUAAGCGGAGGAA